CCAAUAGCGUAUAUUAAAGUUGUUGCAGUUAAAAAGCUCGUAGUUGAAUUUCGGGGUCAAUAAGUUGGUCGUGCCAAUGGUAUGCACUGGCUUUAUUGAUUCCUACCUCUUGACGAACUGUGAUGCCAUUAAUUUGGUGUUGCAGGAAAUCAGGACUGUUACCUUGAAAAAAUUAGAGUGUUUAAAGCAGGCUUACGCUUGAAUACAUUAGCAUGGAAUAAUGAAAUAGGACGUUUGAACCUAUUUUGUUGGUUUCUAGGAUCGACGUAAUGAUUAAUAGGGAUAGUUGGGGGCAUUAGUAUUCAAUUGUCAGAGGUGAAAUUCUUGGAUUUAUUGAAGACUAACUACUGCGAAAGCAUUUGCCAAGGAUGUUUUCAUUAAUCAAGAACGAAAGUUAGGGGAUCGAAGACGAUCAGAUACCGUCGUAGUCUUAACCAUAAACUAUGCCGACUAGGGAUCGGAUGAUGUUAAUUUUUUAAUGACUCAUUCGGCGCCUUACG
This 500-nucleotide ribosomal RNA is filed under the name uncultured Glomeromycotina. RNAcentral describes it as "partial small subunit ribosomal RNA". It matches the Rfam family "Eukaryotic small subunit ribosomal RNA", at positions 591 to 1092 of the family's 1831-position model. Lineage: Eukaryota; Fungi; Glomeromycota. The record is from RNAcentral.